GCCCCAGUAGCGCAGUGGUAGCGCGGCUGACUUGUAAUCAGCAGGUCGGGGGUUCAACUCCCCUCUGGGGCU
Molecule: transfer RNA, 72 nt
Filed under: Nanobdellota archaeon
Lineage: Archaea; Nanobdellati; Nanobdellota
Also listed under: 1 other name
Description: tRNA-Thr
Rfam family: tRNA
About the family: Transfer RNA (tRNA) molecules are approximately 80 nucleotides in length.
Source: RNAcentral